Molecule: long non-coding RNA, 652 nt
Organism: Hirundo rustica (Barn swallow)
Lineage: Eukaryota; Metazoa; Chordata; Aves; Passeriformes; Hirundinidae
Exons: 4
Source: RefSeq, a predicted model, not a curated record
GGCGGCUGUGUGCGGCUGUGUGGUCUUUCUUAGCUUCUUUUGGUGAGGGCUGCGGUUGGAGCCGUGUCUAGCUCAGCAUUUCGGGGUGCAGUUGCGGCAGUCCCUGCUCAGCCUGGCUGUGUGUAUGCUGACCUGAACUGGGAAAGCAUCUUGCACAUCCUGUACCCUGAGCUCUUGAGGUGUUUGCGGGCUCAGAGCCGUGCCAGUCGUUAUGGGAUAGUCACGUCGGAGCAGUACAUAGCAACAGUGCCGGGAAUGCAAGGAUCCUUCAGGCAUCUUGCACCGUUCCUGUGGAAGAAUAUUCAGUGUCUGUGACAGAGGCUUUGUUCCUGUGAAUAUCUGCAAGGACCCAUCUGAAGAGAUGAGUAGAUGUGUUUUCAGAAGUUCAGCUGGACCACUUGUAGGAGUAAACUUCACUAUUGGUGAUGAGAGUUAAAUGUGAAGAAAAAAAGCUGGAUAAGUAUUACGCUGUUAAACUUGCUGCCACAAGACUGUACUGUUAAAGAGUGAUACAGGGAUGAUGAGAAAUCUGGGAUAAGCUUAGCCAUGGAGACUUUGUUCCAUUUCAUCUACUAGGCUUUUUUUUUUUUUUUUAAGGAAAACGGAAUAUCUUAUGAAAAAAUACCAAGUCAUUCUCUCUGACAUUUGUAUU